This is a long non-coding RNA of Dendronephthya gigantea, 217 nucleotides long. RefSeq lists it as uncharacterized. The record is from RefSeq and is a predicted model, not a curated record. Lineage: Eukaryota; Metazoa; Cnidaria; Anthozoa; Malacalcyonacea; Nephtheidae. The transcript is spliced from 3 exons.
GUCCGUAUGAACCAGAGUUUGAUCACAUUUACAUCGUCGAAAACGUACGGAAAAAGGGAGCAAAAAUAGCUCAAACUAGAGCAAGAGAUCGCGUCCAACAAAGUCCAGAGACUCCCACAACACAAAAAACAGUCACAAACCGAGAGGAAUGCAGGAGUUAUACAUCGCUUAGUAACAACGAUCGAAACGUAAAUUAUGUUGGCAGUUCAACGAUGUG